This 129-nucleotide small RNA is filed under the name Klebsiella pneumoniae subsp. pneumoniae. RNAcentral's name for it is "RtT sRNA". It matches the Rfam family "RtT RNA". Rfam says of the family: This family represents a bacterial cis-regulatory element known as RtT RNA. Lineage: Bacteria; Pseudomonadati; Pseudomonadota; Gammaproteobacteria; Enterobacterales; Enterobacteriaceae. The record is from RNAcentral.
UCUGCCCCACGGGGAAGGAUGAGAAGCUUCGACUAAGGUUCGACUCGAGCGAAGCGAGAGAACGUUGCCGUAGGCAACGGCCCGAAGGGCGAAGCGCUUUAGCGCCGAGUAAUCCUUCCCCCACCACUG